RNAcentral lists this ribosomal RNA (3989 nucleotides) under Bacillus toyonensis. RNAcentral's name for it is "23S ribosomal RNA". Lineage: Bacteria; Bacillati; Bacillota; Bacilli; Caryophanales; Bacillaceae. RNAcentral also lists the same sequence under 1 other name. The record is from RNAcentral.
UAAAGAUAAUGAAAAUGUAUAAGGGGCAUACAAUUACAAGAGGAUGAAUAAUAAAAAUGAUCGAGUUCAUGUAUUUGCAUUUCUAGGUGUGACGAGUAAAAAAUUUGCUUACUAGAGAGAGGAUAUUAUGAGGAAGAAUAAUUAUUUAAUAGUAGGUGGAAAUAGUUUCAUUGGUAUUAACCUCACGUUAGGUUUAUUAGAACAGGGGCAAAAUGUAAAAGUAUUUUCCAGGCAUAUAAAUAAUUUCCCUCGAAAUAUUAUAAAUGAAGUUGAAUUUAUUACAGGUGAUUUAGAAAAUGUUGAAGAUAUAUAUAAAGCUUUAGUGAAUGUGGAUAUUAUUAUUUAUUUAGCUGCGACGUCUAAUGUAGCAACUUCCAUCGAAGAUAUUUUUGGGGAUAUUAACAGUAGCCUUUUUUUUCUUAAUUUCAUGGAAAGUGUUAAAGAUUUUCGUAUUAAAAAAAUUGUAUUAGCAUCUUCAGGGGGUACAGUUUAUGGGGAACCUGAAUAUUUGCCUAUUGAUGAGAAGCAUCCGUUGAAACCACUUUCUCCAUAUGGAAUCACAAAAGUUUCGCUUGAGAAUUAUUUGUAUUUUUAUAAGCGAAACUACGGCAUCGACUAUGUUGUAUGUAGAUACUCUAAUCCAUAUGGGAAAUAUCAAAAUCCUUUAAAGAAAGUUGGGGCAAUAAAUUGUUUUUUGUACCAACAUCUUAGUAAUGAAAGGAUUAAUAUAUACGGGAAUCCACAAGAGAUUAUUAGAGAUUAUAUUUAUAUCGAUGAUUUAGUUGAAAUUACUAUACAACUAUCACAAUUAAAUCGAUUGAAAUCUUGUGUAUAUAAUAUAGGAAGUGGCAAAGGUCUUUCUUUAAAACGAAUUAUAGUGGAAUUGGAGAAAAUAACAGAAAGAAAAGUAGACUUUAUCUGUUAUAAACCAAAACAAGAAAAUGUUCAAAAAAUCAUUUUAAAUAUAGAUAAGGUGAGACAAGAAUUUAAUUGGGAACCUAAAAUAGAUUUCAAAAGUGGAAUUAGAUUAAAUAAGUUAUGGAUUGAAGAGUUCUUAUAUAGUAAAAAAUAAUAAACCAUGCUCUACUUAUAUAAGCAGAGCAUGGUUUAUUAUUUUAUUUCUUUUUUUAUUACCCAAAGAUCUUGAUGAUCCCACCAAAACCCUUCAGUGUAUUUUUUAAUGAUAGGGUUAUAGGGUAAUAACUUAAUUUUGUCACACACGUAAGAGGGGCUAACUAUCGUUUGGCCAUAUUGGUUAACAUCUAAAUCGAAUUGUUCACUAGAAGGAAGGAACCAAUAGCCUUGUUCAUUUAAAUUUGGAAAUCCAAAGUAUUUUUUACUUUGAUACCCAUGGGUGGUGAAAAUGAAUAAACCACCAGGUGAAACAGCACUAUACAAUGUUUGAAGCCAACGAAACCAAGUUGUAUCAGGCAUAUGAGAAAAAAAGGAUAGACAAAAAACAAUAUCGUACGUAGAAGUUUCCAAUUUUAAAUGUUCAAGUAUGUUUUUAGGUAUUUUCUAUAUGUAUACAUCUUCAUUUUAGAAAUAUCGUCGAUAGUAAAGUUCUGUUUAAUGAAAUUCUGCAUUUGUACAACUUCAUUAUAAUGAGAAUAUGAAUCUUCUGUUUUCGUUACACUAUUUGUAUGUCGUCUAUGAUAGUUUAGGGACUUUGGAUUAAAGUGAAUAUGUCCCUCUUGCAGGAUGGAAACAUAGAAAAACCAAUCACCAGCAACUUUAAAUUUUGCUAGUUGUUUUUCUGUGUUUUUUAUAUCUAUGUUUUUAAAAACUACACUUGAGACAUUAGGUAUAGUGUUUUUAAUAAGUAACGUAUCUUGUAUUUCAUCUAUGCCUUUUCGAAAAUAGGGGGUUUUCCAUUUUUCUUUAUCGAUAUCAUUUGUGUAAUUUAAAUAAUGAUCAGCUAUUACAUUUCCUUGUUCGUCUAUUUGUUUUGAUUGUGUGUAGCUUAAGGUAACCUUGUUAUUUAUAUGAAAUCCAUGUAUCACCUCUUGUAAAAAUGUCUUCUCACAUAAGUCAUCUGAUUCUGCGAUCCAAAUAUAAUCACCGGUUGCUUCGGAGAUUCCUUUUAUCCAUUGUUUAAAUACAGAACCAGAGUUUUUUUCGUUAAUAAUUCGUUGAACUUUCAGAUGAGGCUUAUUUUCUUUUGAGAGCAGCUUUUCAAAUGUUGAUACGCUAUUGUCAGUAGAGGCGUCGUCUAGGAAAAUUAGUUCGUAAAGGGGGUAGGUUUGGUUUAAUAUUGAUCUGACUCGGUCAGGUAAGUAGUGUUCAUAAUUAUAGUUUGGUACAAUUACACUUAUUUUUUUGUAAUUAUGUUCGAGAAGCGCUAAUAAUUGAUAAAUGUAAUUAAGAAAAUUAAAGUUUUUUUCAAUGAGCUCUUGGCCAAAGCUCCCCUUUUGUAAGCGUAACUCUUCAUCUCCAAUAAGUUCAUAUAUUCUUUCGACCAUUUUUGGUAAGUUUAAAAAGUCUACUAAGGCACCGGUUUUUUCUGUAACAACAUCCUCAAAACCUCCAGCAUUUUUAAAACCUAUCACAGGAACCUUUGUAUCUAAUGCUUCUAAAACAACAUUUGGAAAAGGGUCUUCCCUUGAGGUUAAUAAAUAUAAAUCAGCCCCGGCAUUAUAUAAACCGAUAUCUGGAGUAGGAUCAACUAAUGUGAAAUGUGCUUUAUAUCUUGGUGAUAGAGUAUCCAUAAGGUGAACAUCUGUUCUCCCUACCCAAAUAAAAUGAAUAUUAGUAUGAACCUUUCUUACUGAGUAAGCAAUAAAUGAGAAUAAAUCUAUUCCUUUUCGAUAAUCGGCGAAACCUACACCUAAAAUAAUUUUACUAUCUAGAGGCAGGUUGAGUUUUUUGCGUAAUUCAUUUCUAGCCACUGUAAUAUUAUUCUUAUAAGGAUUGUGGUUAAAUAAACCUUGAGGGAGAAUGUGACAUUUUUGAUGAUCUAAUUGCGUGAUUGUAAGGAAUUUUUCAUAUACGUAUUGUGAAGGGAAGACAAUUUUGUAAGCAGAUUCAGCAAUGUUUCUAGCUUUUCCUUCGGCAGAGUACUGUUGUAUUAAAUGCGGUAAUUCAUGUAUUAACGAAAUAACUUUUAUAUUGUGCCUAGCUAGUAAUGCAACCAUAUCACCACUUAUGACCGUACUGCAUAUGGCAAUGGUAUAGUCUUGUGAUAAUAAAGUCUUUAUUAAUAAUUCGACCGUUUCUUCCGUGGGGUAGUCUUCCUCUAAGCAAUAAACAGGACCAUAUUUUUGAAAAUCGGGGAUUAAAAUGCCUGAUCCAAUAGAAAUAAUUGCGACGGAGUAAUCGAAGUUUUCUUUAAGAGCUUUAAUAGUAUGUAAAGAAAGCAGCUGUGCUCCGUGGAAAUGGGCAUCAUGGGAUACAUAAAUGAUUUUCUUAUUAACAUGCAUUUCAUAACGCCUCCUAAGUUUAUUAGAUUUCUUUACCUUUCUAUCGACUUAGUAAAGGAAAAGAAGAUAAGGAAGUAUUUUAUUUAUAAUCCCCCUAGAGAUAAGCGAGAGGGGAAAAUGGUAAUUUUAGCUCGGGUGCACUACUACCCUUAAUAUAUAUUUACUUAGCCUGACAUUCAUUCUUUAGAAAAGUAUUAGUAUUAAGCUAAAGGUUAUAAAUUGUCGAUUAUUAAUUUAACUAAAGGAGUUUUAGAAUCUCUAGGGAUGGAUUAGAAAUUAAGAGGUUUAUAAUUUAUAAAAUAAAAAACAUAAAAGGUAUUGACGAUUAAGGGUUAGAAGUGUAAUAUAGAACAAGUCGCCGAUGCAAUAACGCAGAAAACGACAAACGAAACAAAAAACUUAGUUGACAUUGAAACAUGAAGAUGUUAACAUAAGGGAGUCGCAAAUGAGCGACCAAGUAGUUCUUUGAAAACUGAACGAAACAAACAACGUGAAACGUCAAUUUUUAUUUUUAGAUGCUAGACAAACUAACUUUAUUGGAGAGUUUGAUCCUGGCUCAGGAUGAACGCU